RNAcentral lists this long non-coding RNA (224 nucleotides) under Ananas comosus (pineapple). RNAcentral's name for it is "long non-coding RNA (ACOM_LNC036894)". The record is from RNAcentral. Lineage: Eukaryota; Viridiplantae; Streptophyta; Magnoliopsida; Poales; Bromeliaceae.
GUUAUACCCGGUUAUAUUUCGCUCAGCCGCAGACCUUGUACCGGUACACGGGUUCUUGUUCCGGUACAAGGACCAAAAUGUGAAUUUUUUUUAAAAAAAAAAUAUAUACUUUAAAAAUCCAGCACAUUUAAAUUAAAUUCAUAUAGUUAAGGCUUUUACUCCAAAAAUCAUUAUAAUGAAAAUAAAAUAUUAUAAAAUUUCAAAACACAUCAAAACAUCAAAAU